RNA transcript from Fragaria vesca subsp. vesca, 968 nucleotides. RefSeq lists it as uncharacterized. NCBI's taxonomy places the organism in Eukaryota, Viridiplantae, Streptophyta, Magnoliopsida, Rosales, Rosaceae. The record is from RefSeq and is a predicted model, not a curated record. The transcript is spliced from 3 exons.
AAUAUAAUUGAUAUUGUCAAAAAUGGGCUGUUUUGGCCUUUUUCAAUUCCAAUUAUACCGUUCUAUUUAAUUUCUAACCAACACCGUUACCCUCACCUCUCUAUCUCACUCUCAGAUCCCAUGAUCACGAUCUGCCAUCAUUGACGAUCAUCGUCUGUAACACAUUCGACGAUUGCUGGAUAAUUUCCACAUCAACUCCGUCAUCUUCAGACGCCAUAAAGCCUCCUAGCAAAACAUCCACCUCGAUAAGUCCGCCAUACUCUUCAAUUUCGGCUCCAUCUACAGUCAGAUUGGGUUGUUGUACGAUCGCGCCACCAUCGACGGCCGCCUUCAGACGUCUCACGCGUUCAUCGCCUAGACGAGAAGGAGUUGAUGCAGUUUUGCUCAAAUCUUUUCGAUUUGAAGAAGGCUAGUUACAUGCAUAUUGAAUUGAAUUGAAUUGUUACAUUGCUAUUAUUGAAAUGAAUGAUGCCAUUUGAGUGCAUACCAUGUCACUGAUUGCCAAGCGGAAGGAAGAAUCUAAGGAAUGGGUUACUCAUCUUUGUCCGAGUAUGGAAAAGAAGCUGCAGGAUAAUUUGAGUUUGGGAAGACAUUGGAGAGUGAGUAGAUCUGACACUUCAGUUUAUGAAGUUCACUGCCAGACGUACAAUACUAUGGUUAAUUUGCGUGCUUUCUUCUGUUCAUGUGGACAAUGGCAGCGCCAUGAUAUGGUUUUCCUUCUGCAUAUGCUCUUUAGUCAUCCAACAACAUGGUCACUCCAUAUUCAUACGUUAAUCCUUUGUACAAGGUACUCUCUUAUUUCUCUUGACGUCAUGCAGCAACAUGGUUUUUCUUUCUCUUGUUUGUGCGACCUGGAUGUAUGUUAUAUAUGAGAGACUUUAUUAAAAUUGUGAGAGUAUUGUGAUUUGAACAAUUGUGACAAAAUGUAUCGUUACAGUGGUUAUAUGAAUAACGACAUUUGAGUUAUC